RNAcentral lists this ribosomal RNA (253 nucleotides) under uncultured bacterium. Its description in RNAcentral is "partial 16S ribosomal RNA". It matches the Rfam family "Bacterial small subunit ribosomal RNA", at positions 524 to 776 of the family's 1533-position model. The record is from RNAcentral.
UACGAAGGGGGCUAGCGUUGCUCGGAAUGACUGGGCGUAAAGGGCGCGUAGGCGGACGGCUUUGUCGGCGUGAAAUUCCAGGGCUUAACCUUGGGUGUGCGUUCGAGACGGGUUGUCUUGAGUUUGGAAGAGGGUCGUGGAAUUCCCAGUGUAGAGGUGAAAUUCGUAGAUAUUGGGAAGAACACCGGUGGCGAAGGCGGCGACCUGGUCCAAGACUGACGCUGAGGCGCGGAAAGCGUGGGGAGCAAACAGG